Non-coding RNA from Pogona vitticeps (central bearded dragon), 694 nucleotides. The record is from RefSeq and is a predicted model, not a curated record. Lineage: Eukaryota; Metazoa; Chordata; Lepidosauria; Squamata; Agamidae.
UUGCUAGCUAAGAAAAUGGCUCACAGUGGUUUGUCCCUAUGCCUUUAACAGAAGCUAAUCUACAGCCAUUAAAGUCUGGCCCCCUUUUUCUCUAGGCUAUGCAGAUCACCUGUCCUUAUUCCUCUCACUGCUAAUGGCAAAACUACAGAGUUCACAAGUCCAGAAUCUUACAUGAAGCAGCACCAAUUAAUCAGCUCACUGGACCAGGCAGUUAGUACAUUAAAAAUUGUCAGCGAUGCCAAACAGCUUAGAAAAUGUCAAAAACAUAUUCCAGCGGCAGGAGGAGCCUGGAGCCAGCCACGGACAGAGAGAUGCCCGCUCGACAACAGCGGCCAGAGGAAGCAGCAGCUUCCUAACCAGCAACAACAGAUCUCUGCUGAACAUCUAACUUGACCCUUGAAACCAAUCCCAACAUGCAGCAUGCCAAACGACGUGCACGGAGAAGACAGCUUUGAGAACAGUAAAUGCAGCUGGGAGAGCAUUGGCAAAAAAAAUGGAAUCUAAGUUAAACCGACAGAGUGGAUCAGCUAAGAACCUUCUCCUGCCCAGGACAUCUUCAGGCUGAAUCCCAUUUUACUGUUUUAUGCCGACCGCUUCCCUUUCUGUCCUGCAUCUCUAACUUGGGAACACGUACACCAAGAUUUCCAUUUGUCAUUUAUGGUUUAAUAAUAAUCUUAGAAUGGCAGAGCUUGAA